Molecule: ribosomal RNA, 260 nt
Filed under: uncultured Chloroflexota bacterium
Lineage: Bacteria; Bacillati; Chloroflexota
Description: uncultured Chloroflexi bacterium partial 16S ribosomal RNA
Rfam family: Bacterial small subunit ribosomal RNA
Source: RNAcentral
UCAUUGCUAGUUAAAUUCUCUAGCGAUACUGCCCGUAUAACGUGGGAGGAAGGUGAGGAUGACGUCAAGUCAGCAUGGCCCUUACGCCUUGGGCUACACACACGCUACAAUGGGUGAUACAGAGGGUUGCAAAGAAGCGAUUCGGAGCUAAUCCCUAAAAUCAUCCCCAGUUCAGAUUGUAGACUGAAACUGUCUACAUGAAGUAGGAGUUGCUAGUAACCGCAGGUCAGCACACUGCGGUGAAUACGUUCUCGGGUCCU